GUCAGGGUGGCCGAGUGGUUAUGGCGUUGGUCUUAAGAACCAAUCACGCAAGUGAUCAUGGGUUCGAUUCCCAUUCCUGACA
RNAcentral lists this transfer RNA (82 nucleotides) under Genlisea aurea. It matches the Rfam family "tRNA". Rfam says of the family: Transfer RNA (tRNA) molecules are approximately 80 nucleotides in length. Their secondary structure includes four short double-helical elements and three loops (D, anti-codon, and T loops). Further hydrogen bonds mediate the characteristic L-shaped molecular structure. tRNAs have two regions of fundamental functional importance: the anti-codon, which is responsible for specific mRNA codon recognition, and the 3' end, to which the tRNAs corresponding amino acid is attached (by aminoacyl-tRNA synthetases). tRNAs cope with the degeneracy of the genetic code in two manners: having more than one tRNA (with a specific anti-codon) for a particular amino acid; and 'wobble' base-pairing, i.e. permitting non-standard base-pairing at the 3rd anti-codon position. The record is from Rfam by way of RNAcentral. Lineage: Eukaryota; Viridiplantae; Streptophyta; Magnoliopsida; Lamiales; Lentibulariaceae.